GACGAACGCUGGCGGCGUGCUUAACACAUGCAAGUCGUACGGUAAGGCCCUUUCGGGGGUACACGAGUGGCGAACGGGUGAAUAACACGUGAGUAACCUGACCACAACUUUGGGAUAACGCUAGGAAACUGGUGAUAAUACUGGAUAUGUGCUACUGCUGCAUGGUGGGGGUUGGAAAGCUCCGGCGGUUGUGGAUGGACUCUCGGCCUAUCAGCUUGUUGGUGGGGUAGUGGCGUACCAAGGCGGCGACCGGUAGCCGGCCUGAGAGGGUGACCGGCCACAUUGGGACUGAGAUACGGCCCAGACUCCUACGGGUGGCAGCAGUGGGGAAUAUUGCACAAUGGGCGCAAGCCUGAUGCAGCAACGCCGCGUGCGGGAUUACGGCCUUUGGGUUGUAAACCGCUUUCAGCAGGGACUAUGCUUUUUUUGACGGUACCUGCAGAAGAAGCACCGGCUAACUACGUG
RNAcentral lists this ribosomal RNA (465 nucleotides) under uncultured bacterium. RNAcentral describes it as "partial 16S ribosomal RNA". It matches the Rfam family "Bacterial small subunit ribosomal RNA", at positions 28 to 507 of the family's 1533-position model. The record is from RNAcentral.